GGGUUGUGAGGUUAAGCGACUAAGCGUACACGGUGGAUGCCCUGGCAGUCAGAGGCGAUGAAGGGCGUGCUAAUCUGCGAUAAGCGCCGGUAAGGUGAUAUGAACCGUUAUAACCGGCGAUACCCGAAUGGGGAAACCCAGUGUGAUUCGUCACACUAUCAUUAACUGAAUCCAUAGGUUAAUGAGGCGAACCGGGGGAACUGAAACAUCUAAGUACCCCGAGGAAAAGAAAUCAACCGAGAUUCCCCCAGUAGCGGCGAGCGAACGGGGAGGAGCCCAGAGCCUGAAUCAGCAUGUGUGUUAGUGGAAGCGUCUGGAAAGGCGCGCGAUACAGGGUGACAGCCCCGUACACAAAAGCGCAUGUGCUGUGAGCUCGAUGAGUAGGGCGGGACACGUGGUAUCCUGUCUGAAUAUGGGGGGACCAUCCUCCAAGGCUAAAUACUCCUGACUGACCGAUAGUGAACCAGUACCGUGAGGGAAAGGCGAAAAGAACCCCGGCGAGGGGAGUGAAAAAGAACCUGAAACCGUGUACGUACAAGCAGUGGGAGCCCCACCACCAAAGCAUUUGCUGUACCGCGUUGACGGAGCGAAGCGACGUCAAACCGAUAAAACAGCAGUGUAAAGUGAGCCGCAGGGCGCUUUGCGCGACAGCGCAAAGGCAGGCGGUUUCGCGUAGCGAAAGCGAAUGCUUUGGGGUGGGGUGACUGCGUACCUUUUGUAUAAUGGGUCAGCGACUUAUAUUCUGUAGCAAGGUUAACCGUAUAGGGGAGCCGUAGGGAAACCGAGUCUUAACCGGGCGUUAAGUUGCAGGGUAUAGACCCGAAACCCGGUGAUCUAGCCAUGGGCAGGUUGAAGGUUGGGUAACACUAACUGGAGGACCGAACCGACUAAUGUUGAAAAAUUAGCGGAUGACCUGUGGCUGGGGGUGAAAGGCCAAUCAAACCGGGAGAUAGCUGGUUCUCCCCGAAAGCUAUUUAGGUAGCGCCUCGUGAAUUCAUCUCCGGGGGUAGAGCACUGUUUCGGCUAGGGGG
This 1031-nucleotide ribosomal RNA is filed under the name Salmonella enterica subsp. enterica serovar Blockley. RNAcentral's name for it is "partial 23S ribosomal RNA". It matches the Rfam family "Bacterial large subunit ribosomal RNA", at positions 1 to 926 of the family's 2925-position model. The record is from RNAcentral. Lineage: Bacteria; Pseudomonadati; Pseudomonadota; Gammaproteobacteria; Enterobacterales; Enterobacteriaceae.